GACGAACGCUGGCGGCGUGCUUAACACAUGCAAGUCGAGCGGGAAACUUCGGUUUCCAGCGGCGGACGGGUGAGUAACACGUGGGCAACCUGCCUCACAAUGAGGGAUAGCCUUCCGAAAGGAAGAUUAAUACCUCAUAACACAAGAGAAACGCAUGUUUCUUUUGCCAAAGAAUUUCGUUGUGAGAUGGGCCCGCGGCGCAUUAGCUUGUUGGUGAGUUAACGGCUCACCAAGGCUUCGAUGCGUAGCCGACCUGAGGGGGUGAUCGGCCACAUUUGAACUGAGAACCAGUCCAGACUCCUACGGGAGGCAGCAGUGGGGAAUAUUGCACAAUGGAGGAAACUCUGAUGCAGCAACGCCGCGUGAGUGAUGAAGGUCUUCGGAUUGUAAAGCUCUGUAUUCUGAGACGAUAAUGACGGUACCAGAGGAGGAAGCCACGGCUAACUACGUGCCAGCCGCCGCAGUAA
Molecule: ribosomal RNA, 467 nt
Filed under: uncultured bacterium
Lineage: Bacteria
Description: partial 16S ribosomal RNA
Rfam family: Bacterial small subunit ribosomal RNA
Source: RNAcentral